UAUUGAUCACGUGGCUUGCUCAAAUAUUAGAUCUUUCCAGUGUUUGGCAAAGACGUCAGGGAGCACUGUAAGAUCCAGUGUUUACCAGAAACCUUUGAUCCAGAAUCCUGUUGUAAAUGUGGAAUUAUAUAAUGUAAAGAAUGGGACUGUAAAGGUCACUGCUUACAGCCAGCUUAAUCUCAUUUGUUUUAAACCUAACAGGUAUAAUUGGGACAGAUGGGAUGCAAGGUAUAAUGACUUUUAUUAUUAUGACCACACUUACUGGUGUAGAGUGAGUUACGAUCACUGUCUGCAAGUGAGAAAGAAUGUACUAGAGACAUUAACCUCAGUCACAUUAGAAAUAUGUGUGACGCCAAAUGAUGAUGGAACAACAUAUCGCUGCUCACCCGGGAAUAAAGAGGUUCGAAUUGUUGUCAUCGCACCUCCUCCUCAACGAGUCAUUCCAGCUGUGAGGCCCAUAACUCCCGGGAACGUUCUACCAAAAGCCAAUAGCGGCAUAGAGCAUGGAGUUGGCAUCAUAAUAGUAUUGACCAGCGUAAUACUUCUUAUCAUCAUUGUGUGUGUUACUGUCACCACAUGCAAGGGUAAGUACCAG
Molecule: long non-coding RNA, 595 nt
Organism: Micropterus salmoides (largemouth bass)
Lineage: Eukaryota; Metazoa; Chordata; Actinopteri; Centrarchiformes; Centrarchidae
Exons: 3
Source: RefSeq, a predicted model, not a curated record